Molecule: long non-coding RNA, 585 nt
Organism: Fukomys damarensis (Damara mole-rat)
Lineage: Eukaryota; Metazoa; Chordata; Mammalia; Rodentia; Bathyergidae
Exons: 3
Source: RefSeq, a predicted model, not a curated record
GCCUGCCAUUGUGUGUUCACUGUUGCUUCCUGAGACCAGGGACACAAGACUCUUGUCUGAGAGCCUUCGGCUGGCCCGCCUCACUCCAGAGCUGGACUCCCAGCCAUGAGGACCCUCACCCUCCUCGCUGCCAUCCUCCUGCUGGCCCUGCAGGCCCAGGCUGAGCCUCUCCCAGGAAGAGCCGACCUGGCUGAUGAAGAGGAGCAGGUUGCAGUCAUCUUUCCGGGGGAGGAAAGCUCCGCUCUCCAAGAUGCAGGUGUAUGGAGAAGCGAGGCCUGCCAUUGCAGAAUAUUGUGUUUUCCAUGGGAACGUUCAAGUGGAUCGUGCAGAAGAAACAUUUUUCGCUUCAGACUCUGCUGCCGCUGAGAAUCUAAAGCUGUAAAAAAUGAUUUUAAAAAUUUCCCUGAGGGCCAGGGGAGUAGCUCAGCAGUGUAGCACUUGCCUGGCAAGCAUAAGGCCCUGAAUUUGAUUCUCAGUACUAAAAAAAUAAAAAUAAAAAUUGCAUUGUAACCUAAGAGGCAAUAGAUUUUAUCCCUGAGCCAUGUCCUUAACUUUCUUUCUCUACCGCAAAUAAAUCCCCUGCUG